CAGGCCUAACACAUGCAAGUCGAGCGGUAACAGGCCCUUCGGGGUGCUGACGAGCGGCGGACGGGUGAGUAAUGCAUGGGAACUUACCCAGUAGUGGGGGAUAGCCCGGGGAAACCCGGAUUAAUACCGCAUACGCCCUGAGGGGGAAAGCGGGCUCCGGCUCGCGCUAUUGGAUGGGCCCAUGUCGGAUUAGUUUGUUGGUGAGGUAAUGGCUUACCAAGGCGACGAUCCGUAGCUGGUCUGAGAGGAUGAUCAGCCACACCGGGACUGAGACACGGCCCGGACUCCUACGGGAGGCAGCAGUGGGGAAUAUUGGACAAUGGGGGCAACCCUGAUCCAGCCAUGCCGCGUGUGUGAAGAAGGCCCUAGGGUUGUAAAGCACUUUCAGCAGGGAGGAAAAGCUGUCGGUUAAUACCCGCCAGUGUUGACGUUACCUGCAGAAGAAGCACCGGCUAACUCCGUGCCAGCAGCCGCGGUAAUACGGAGGGUGCAAGCGUUAAUCGGAAUUACUGGGCGUAAAGGGCGCGUAGGCGGUCUGAUAAGCGGGUUGUGAAAGCCCCGGGCUCAACCUGGGAAUUGCAAUCCGAACUAUCAGGCUAGAGUGCAGCAGAGGGCAGUGGAAUUCCCGGUGUAGCGGCGAAAUGCGUAGAUAUCGGGAGGAACACCAGUGGCGAAGGCGACUGCCUGGGCUGACACUGACGCUGAGGUGCGAAAGCGUGGGUAGCAAACAGGAUUAGAUACCCUGGUAGUCCACGCUGUAAACGAUGUCUACUAGCCGUCGGGGUCCUUAGUGACUUUGGUGGCGCAGCUAACGCGAUAAGUAGACCGCCUGGGG
This 835-nucleotide ribosomal RNA is filed under the name uncultured bacterium. RNAcentral's name for it is "bacterial SSU rRNA". It matches the Rfam family "Bacterial small subunit ribosomal RNA", at positions 43 to 878 of the family's 1533-position model. The record is from RNAcentral.